Molecule: microRNA precursor, 123 nt
Filed under: Hordeum vulgare
Lineage: Eukaryota; Viridiplantae; Streptophyta; Magnoliopsida; Poales; Poaceae
Description: microRNA MIR1122
Rfam family: MIR1120/MIR1122 microRNA precursor family
Source: RNAcentral
UUAGUACUCCCUUCGUCUGAAAAUACUUAUCCUAAAAAUACAUAUAAUGAAUGUAUCUAUAAUUAAAAUAAGUUUAGAUACAUUCAUUUCUAGGACAAGUAUUUCGGAUGGAGGUAGUACUAU